CUCCCCCCCCCCCAUAACGUGGCUGUGCCUCCUUCAACCGUUGAUCGAUCUGGGAGUCUCUGUUGGGCGUCGCACCAGCUCGUUGAUGGAAUCCUUCAGAGACCCUCUGGGGGACAGAGAGGCCCGCUGGCUGAUGGACUUGUGCACAGGGUGAUCGGACAGAGGGCUGGACUCCCGGCUGCUUCCAGGCUUGGAUCCCUCCGAGCCAGCAUUCAAGCUGCUAGGCAAGCCAGUGGUUAAGAGGAGCGUUGCGAAGUUGUCUGAAUGCUUGACAAACCAGCUUGAGGAAGUCCCAUUGAAAUCUUACUGCUGGGUGUAGCAUUGGGCUGUAAGAAGCUUCGCUCAGUGAACUGUGAACUAGGAAGUAAUUCAUCUACAGCCCGGGUCAUGAACUCACCAGCUAUUUCCUCUUUUGCCUAAAUCCUCUUCCCACGACCACCACCCCCGCAUCCCAGCACUCCUCUGCAAUAUGGGGGAUGACAGGAAUAGUGUCCUACCUUGCAAAGCUGUUGUGCAGAUUACUGAAAUAAAGAUCCGCAAAGUGUUUGCAGAUCUAAAAUCUCUCUGUGAAUCCCUAAAAUCACGCUAUUGGCACAUAUUAUUAAUUAUUUAUUAUUAUUAAUAUUAAUAUUAAUAUGCCAACAUGCACCGACUUCCCUCUGGUGGGAGAUGCACCUAAUCACAAGGAAAUCUUCCUAAAUCCCCUAUGACAUACUUCCAAGUCAGGGCCCCAAGCAAAGCAACUUCAGGUUUUCCCAGUAAAUCUUCAUAGGCUAAAGACUGUGGCUUCACUCUGAGCUCUGGAGAAUCGAUGUGCAGAGAUCAGGAGCAAGCAGAGAUCUCUUACCUCGACUGUUGCGGUGCAGUC
This is a long non-coding RNA of Hemicordylus capensis (graceful crag lizard), 868 nucleotides long. RefSeq lists it as uncharacterized. Lineage: Eukaryota; Metazoa; Chordata; Lepidosauria; Squamata; Cordylidae. The record is from RefSeq and is a predicted model, not a curated record. The transcript is spliced from 3 exons.